RNAcentral lists this long non-coding RNA (2286 nucleotides) under Triticum aestivum (bread wheat). RNAcentral's name for it is "long non-coding RNA (TAES_LNC015829)". The record is from RNAcentral. Lineage: Eukaryota; Viridiplantae; Streptophyta; Magnoliopsida; Poales; Poaceae.
GGAAAGGUCUUCAUUCAAGACAAGACCCUUCAUCCAAGUUGCAUGAAGACAAUAUUCAACCGUGCAUGGAUAACUCAUAGCACGGUGCAUACAAGAACAAGAGUUGCAAUGAAGACAAGAGCUUCAGUCUGGACAAAAUCAUCUGUCAAGACAAAGAUUCCAGUCAAGACAAAAGUUCCAGUCAAGACAAAAUUCGCGGUCAAGACAAAUAUUCCAAUCUGGACAAAAUUCUUAGUCUAGACAAAAAUAUCAGUCUAGCGUCGGAGUCACGCAAGGCUUGAUGUCGCAAACACUGAGGCACUUCAGCGGUGCAUAAGGCUUGUCAAGCUACGAGAUACCCCGGCCUCCAGCUAUGACGCAGAAGAAUAAAAGAGGGGAGCAUCCAGCAUCCCUCGCGCACUAUAAAAGGGGGAGGACUGAGCGCGGAGAGACACACACAACAGCAGUCUACACAACACCAGUCUCCAGAGCCUCGCAAGCACCAGAGCACCAUUUCUCUCACUCUCCUCAGUAGUAGUAGUAGCCAUCUCCUGUUGUAAUAAGCCUUUGAGGCAUUUGUAUCAUCCAGUGGUGGAGGUAGGCAGAAGGUAGUCUUCCUUUCUCUUUGUAAUCCCUUCGGGGUCUCCCGAAAGGGAAAUCCGUAUGUAAAUUAUGUUGUCGAAGUGAAGUAGUUUCGGGUUUCACUUGGUUUUUAUAUUAUGAAUUUACGAAAUGAGUUCUUACGCUAGGGAUCCUAUAGGAGAAACCUCUGUCGGUAGUUCUCUGUUUAGCCGAUGUGUGGCGUUUGAAUGAGAACCUUGUGGCCGUAGAGAAGUGUUCCCUUCGGGUGGAACUGCCUGGGAAGACGGUAGGAAUUCAUCAAAUAAAUUUGUAAUAUAAACAUCAAGUGAAAGAACUUAGCUGCUUCUGAAGCAACAUAGUGAUGAAUACGGAGAGUACCGAGUAGGAUUAACACAACUGUUGCAUACCCGUAGGCUAUCUCGUUGGUUUCGCCAAUCCGUAAAAGAUCCUGCAUAUUGAUUAAGAAUUAGUUAAUUAAAUAAUUUCACAAAAUUUAGAUUACGUAAGAAGUUAAUAAGUACUUUAUAUUUUAUUUGAUAAUAUAUUUGUGUGUUGGAAAAUAAUAAUAAUAAUAAUAAUAAUAAUAAUAAUAAUAAUAAUAAUAAUAAUAAUAAUAAUAAUAAUAAUAACAACAAUAAUAAUGGUAGCAAGAAUAAUUAUGCAAGAAGCAGCCAUGCAACAUCCGUAUCAGGAAAGGUCUUCAUUCAAGACAAGACCCUUCAUCCAAGUUGCAUGAAGACAAUAUUCAACCGUGCAUGGAUAACUCAUAGCACGAUGCAUACAAGAACAAGAGUUGCAAUGAAGACAAGAGCUUCAGUCUGGACAAAAUCAUCUGUCAAGACAAAGAUUCCAGUCAAGACAAAAGUUCCAGUCUAGACAAAAUUCGCGGUCAAGACAAAUAUUCCAGUCUGGACAAAAUUCUCAGUCUAGACAAAGUUCUCAGUCUAGACAAAAAUAUCAGUCUAGCAUCGGAGUCACGCAAGGCUUGAUGUCGCAAACACUGAGGCACUUCAACGGUGCAUAAGGCGUGUCAAGCUACGAGAUACCCCGACCUCCAGCUAUGACGCAGAAGAAUAAAAGAGGGGAGCAUCCAGCAUCCCUCGCGCACUAUAAAAGGAGGAGGACUGAGCGCGGAGAGACACACACAACAACAGUCUACACAACACCAGUCUCCAGAGCAUCGCAAGCACCAGAUCACCACUUCCCUCACUCUCCUCAGUAGUAGUAGUUGGUAGUAGCCAUCUCCAGUUUUUAAUAAGCCUUUGAGGCAUUGUAUCAUCCAGUGGUGGAGGUAGGCAGAAGGUAGUCCUCCUUUUCUCUUUGUAAUCCCUUCGGGGUCUCCCGAAAGGGAAAUCCAUAUGUAAAUUAUGUUGUCAAAAUGAAGUAGUUUCUGGUUUUACUUGGUUUUUAUAUUAUGAAUUUAUGAAACGAGUUCUUACGCUAGGGAUCCUAUAGGAGAAACCUCUGCCGGUAGUUCUCUAUUUAGCCGAUGUGUGGCGUUUGAAUGAGAACCUUGUGGCCGUAGAGAAGUGUUCCCUUCGGGUGGAACUGCCUGGGAAGACGGUAGGAAUUCAUCAAAUAAAUUUGUAAUAUAAACAUCAAGUGAAAGAACUUAGCUGCUUCUAAAGCAACAUAGUGAUGAAUACGGAGAGUACCGAGUAGGAUUAACACAACUGCUGCAUACCCAUAGGCUGUCUCGUUGGUUUCGCUAACCCGUAAAAGAUC